UACUCCUGUUUUGUAUUAUUUAAACAUUUGACCAAGUGCUGGAUACAGUGGUUCAUGUCUGUAAUACCAGCACUUUGGGAGGCCAAGGUAGGAGUAUCCCACUUGAUCACAGGAGUUUAACACCAGCCUGGGCAAAAAGUGAGACCCUGUCUCUACAAAAGGAAUUUUUAAAAAUUGCCCAGUUAAUUGGAACCAGCCUGUAGUUCCAAGCCUUGAAAGACUUAGGUGCAUGGGUUACUUGAGCCUGGGAAGUUGAGUCUGUUGUGAGCUAGGAUCAUGUCACUGCACUUUAGCCUGGGUGACCCUGUCUCAGAAAAAUAAAAACAACCUUUGGCCAGGACAGGUGAAUAAUUAAGCUGCAGAGGGCUGUUUCGAGCCUGUUCCCCAAUCAGUGCAUUCAACUCAACCCCACAUUCUGUUGUGGCCAGGGGUGACAGAUGCUGAGCACCUUGGGGUUUCAUUUCUAACUCAACUCAGGAGAAACUGUGUAAGGCUGGCACCCUACCAGAAGGCAUCUCAUAAAAUGAGUUUAGUUUAGCCAAGAUGUCUCUCUCUGAUCUUUCUGCCAUUGGAAGUGUAAAGAGUAUUCCUGCCCCAUAAUAGUGACAGCUAAUAAAUGGCAUUCAUCAUUUCUGUCAUCUGAUCACUAUUGUGGUAUCUUGGGAGUGACCAUGAAGUCUGAGUUGUGCAACAGAACGCUCAAGAAUGUUCCCGAGUCAGCUGCACAAGUACAGAGGAGGUCUUUCUCCUCAUCCCAAUCUUGGGGUGCUGGAUUCAAAAUGGAUUGCAAGCAGCUGUGCCCUGUUUGGACAUUAGCGUAGGAACCUACUUCCAAGUGUUUCAAAACAGAAUUUGGAGCCAUUCUUGUAGCUCAGUGUGAUAUUUUUAAAUAACUAGAGAAAAGUUUUUUUACCUGACUUAAUAAAAACAACUGCUAUUAAAUGCAUAUAGUAUUGUCUAAAAAGUAUCUACAAAAUUGUAACUUCAGUGUUUUCUUGCAAAAGAAGUGGAAGUAAUACAGAGAACCUUUCAAAUGAAGAAUCACUGAGAAACAAAAUAGAAGUAGGGUAACAUGUACUUAUGUAUCUUUUUGAAAAUUAUACAAGAAUGAAUUUGCAUCAGGCUUUUCAAUUUAUGAACAUGAGUAGGAUUUCCCUCUAGGGAAAGUUUUCACAUCAAUGUUGAAGAAAUUCUUAAAACUGUAAACUUUUCUGUAUUUGGUAAUCUACCAGGGUUCCAAUCCAGCGUGCUUUCUUAUAUUUAUAGGGUCUGUCUCCAGUGUGUAUUAUCAUGGGUCUUGGAGAAAAUAUCAUGUAAAUGAAGGCAUUUCUACAUUCUAUACAUUCAUAGGUUUUAUUUCAGAAAUGAGUUCUUAUCUUCAUGUGGAACUGGAACAACUGAAGACCUUAACACAUGUUUCUAUUUAUAAGGAAUUUCCCAUUGAAUCCUUUCAUGUUUUCAGAGAAAUAAAAAAGGUGAAGGCUUUACCAUGUUUCUUAAGUUUAUGUCAUCUUUCUCCAUGUUAAAUGUGAAUAUGUCUUUGAAAAGGAACAUAGGGAAAAUCAAGUUUAUUAACAUUUUUUACAUUCAUGUUUCAUUUUGGGUACUGGUUUUUUUCUGAGUUUCAAAGGGAAUUGGGAAAGUUGCACUCUUUCUUGUAUUUCUUCACUAGAUUGGGUUCUGUCCAGUGUGCGUUAUUUCAUGAAUUCUAAUAAACUAGAGCACAUGAUAGCCUUACCACAUUUCUUACAUGAGAAUAAUGUUUUUGAAGACAGCCCAGUGAACUAACAUGGUCCUGUGUUUGUUCUGUUGUGUUUCUCCUUCCCCAGGAAAAAGUUGGAAAUGAACUUCUUGGAGCUAAUUAAUUAUGAUACUAACGUUUCUAAAAGCGUUAUACCAGAUACUACUUCCAUCUUCGUGACCUUGUAUAUACGUAUGGCCUGGGUUCACCUAUUUACCUUCUUGACACACAAAGAGCAUGGGAUCUGCAGGCUUUAUCAAGGAUGGAACAAUACGAAGUGUUCUAUACUGGCAUCACCAGGUCUUUGAGCGUUGAUGAUGUAACUACUCUUCAGCGCACCAAGGCCAUCCUCUCCUGAAGGAAGAAAUGAGGGGUCUUGUAACAUCUGAACCCCUCACCAAAAAAGACAGGAAAAUACCACCUCUCCUGCUAAAUAACUAGAGAAGUUUGUAUUUUCAAAAGAAGAAAUACCUCAAUUUAAGUUAACUCAAAGACAACUAAGAUUGCCCUUUAUAAUAAGGAAUGGGACCCUGUCAGGGCAACAACACAGUCUUCACCCUUCUGUUUCUUUUAAUGUAAACAGAGUUAUAGAAACCACUCCAAAGCGUAGGCUCCUUCUGCCCACUCACAGAUGCUUGCUUAGUGUGUCGGCUGAUAGCUGUGAAUGGUGUCAGGCUUUUUUUGUUUUGUUUUCAGAUGAGUCUCUGUUGCCAGGCUAGGGGGCUGUGGUGUGAUCUCAGCUCAAUGCAAUUUCCACCUCCUGGGUCCAAGCCAUUCUCCUGCCUUGGCCUCCCUCCUUAAUUAAAUGUUUUAAGUAGCUGGGAUUACAGGGGCACCCGGCUUGUGUAAGGCUUUUAAAACAAUGAUUUAAAUUUUUUAGAUUUUAAAAGAUAACUUUUUUGUUUUUUUAAAAACAUUUUUUUCCCCAAAUUGCAGUAUUCGUAUUCAGACAUGUCAAAAGAGUUCAUUAAUAGCACAAUCUUUUCUUCCUGAGGGUCCUCCCCUUCAGGUGUCCCAGCCUGCUUGCAGCAGCCAUAGACGGGGUCUUUAUACUGAGAGAAGCUACAGAGCUCUUGAAAGCUGGAAUGCAUAGGCAGACAUGAUCAGAGUUGAGAAUAGGGGGGUUGUGAUGUCCUCUUUGAGGGAAUAAUUGUUAUUGUCCUGAGGCUGUUUCUAGAUAUUGUCAAAUAAAUUCUGAUGUAGGUAAGACGUGACUUUAUUCUAAAGGAGUAUUACAAUGGGGAAAUCACCAGGCAUCAGAUCUGCAAGCAUCUCAUAAAAGGCAGAAAAGGGCUGUGUUUUUUAUGGAGGAGCAAGCAAGAUUAGAAGGAAGGUGGGAGGAAGAGUGGAGAAUGGCAAAAUCAGAUUCAAGCUCAGGGAAUGUUUCAGCCAGAAGUCAGCCUGUUCUUAGGAUGGGCAUAAACGGGGUUUGUAUGUUGGCUCAGACUGAAGGCAGAGCAGAGUCCAGGAGCUGGGGAAAGGAGAGAAACUUGAGCAAAGUUGUGAUGGAAUUCCUGGAACCCAGGAGGCAAAGGUUGCAGUGAACCAGGAUUGCACCAGUGCAGUCCAGGGUGACAGAGUGAAACUCUAUCUCAUGAGUAAAUGACUAAAUAUUUUAAAUAAAGUCUUGUUUUAACCAA
This is a non-coding RNA of Callithrix jacchus (white-tufted-ear marmoset), 3381 nucleotides long. The record is from RefSeq and is a predicted model, not a curated record. NCBI's taxonomy places the organism in Eukaryota, Metazoa, Chordata, Mammalia, Primates, Cebidae.